RNAcentral lists this ribosomal RNA (479 nucleotides) under uncultured bacterium. Its description in RNAcentral is "partial 16S ribosomal RNA". It matches the Rfam family "Bacterial small subunit ribosomal RNA", at positions 28 to 507 of the family's 1533-position model. The record is from RNAcentral.
GAUGAACGCUAGCGGGAGGCCUAACACAUGCAAGCCGAGCGGUAUUUGUUCUUCGGAACAGAGAGAGCGGCGCACGGGUGCGGAACACGUGUGCAACCUGCCUUUAUCUGGGGGAUAGCCUUUCGAAAGGAAGAUUAAUACCCCAUAAUAUAUUGAGUGGCAUCAUUUGAUAUUGAAAACUCCGGUGGAUAGAGAUGGGCACGCGCAAGAUUAGAUAGUUGGUGAGGUAACGGCUCACCAAGUCAAUGAUCUUUAGGGGGCCUGAGAGGGUGAUCCCCCACACUGGUACUGAGACACGGACCAGACUCCUACGGGAGGCAGCAGUGAGGAAUAUUGGACAAUGGGUUGGCGCCUGAUCCAGCCAUCCCGCGUGAAGGACGACGGCCCUAUGGGUUGUAAACUUCUUUUGUAUAGGGAUAAACCUACUCUCGUGAGAGUAGCUGAAGGUACUAUACGAAUAAGCACCGGCUAACUCCGUG